AAGUCGUAACAAGGUCUCCUUCCGUAGGUGAUGCCUAGGAAGCCUUAGCAGCCUGAAAAGGUCCGCUCCGCGACUUGGAAUAAAUAAUGGACGCAUAAAUGCUAGUCGGCGCGCGGCGCCGGCGACACCGUCAAAUUGCGGGAAGCGCCUAAAGCUCUCAGCUACCAAGCAGGCGAGGGAAACCUCACUGUGGCCAGGGUAAUGACCUCGGGUAUGGUAACAACGCUGGAGAUGAGUCUCUCAGAGGCGAAAUGGUUAAUCCGCAGCCAAGUC
Molecule: unclassified non-coding RNA, 273 nt
Filed under: Chaetothyriales sp.
Lineage: Eukaryota; Fungi; Ascomycota; Eurotiomycetes; Chaetothyriales
Description: partial contains internal transcribed spacer 1
Source: RNAcentral